UGGCCUUGUCCAUUCACCCAAACAAGGAAGCCUCGUUCUCAAGCCAUAGUCCGUAGUAUCCUAAACCCUGGUUUGGUUACAAAGUCUUGUUUGUUGUAGCGAACAAACCUUCCCCUUUCAGCAUUCAGUUUUGAGUUCACCCAUCACAGUUUUCUUCUUCUUCUUCUUCUUGUGCAUGGCAACUGAACCGAGUGAGAGCACACAAAGGAACACCCUUGUCGUUAGAAAGCCAUGUUUUGGCCUCCCAACAGGUUGCCCUCAAUGCCUCUCUGCUUACAUUUUUCUCAAGCUCUCUCAAGUUCCCUUCAACUUGGAUUACCACCCUAACUACCCUGAUUCUGAUCAGAUUCCUUACUUUGAGGAUGGUGAUUCUGUGACAUACAAUAAUGAGAAGGAGGGGAUCAUUGAGUGCUUGAAAAGGAAUGUGGGUGGUGAUUUAGAUAGUGAGGUUUCUUCUCUCCCUGAUUGGAUACCAACCAAAGUGAUGGCCACCACUUGGCUUGCUGAUGCACUUGAGUAUGAACUGUGGGUGGGAUGUGAUGGUUCCUCUGCUUAUAGCAUCUAUUAUUCUGAUCUUCCCUGGCCUAUCGGCAAGGUUCUCUUUUGGAAGAAAGCUUAUUGGGUAAAGCAGAAACAUGGGAUAAGUGAAGAGAAUGUAGAAGUAAAGGAAGAAGAGAUUUAUGGGAGAGCAAACUCUGCAUAUGAUGCUCUGUCGACUUGGUUAGGGGAACAAAACUACCUUUUUGAAAACAGGCCAUCGAGCUUGGAUGCUAUUUUUCUUGCACAUGCAUUAGUUGUUCUUCAAGCUUUACCUGAAUCAUCAAUUUUGCGGACCAAUUUUUUGGAACAUGCCAAUUUAGUGAGAUAUGUGCAACGAUGUAAGACAGAACUUAUAGUAGCUGGUACUUCUGCUUCCAAUGAUCCAUAUUUUCAUGCAGACCCAUCAUCAUCAGCUUCUAGAGGUCGUUCAACUUCAAAAAUAUAGCCACCAUUCCCAAUUCUGACCUUUGAGACAUUAGUUGGCUUCAAAUCCUUGAAUAGAGUCUUAUCAUAUGUCAUGUGGUUCGUACAACCACUAUCAAUCAACCAACAUUCAGAACUACUCCUCAUUGAAUAGCAUGUUGCAGCAAAAAUAUAAUCUUCCUCCUGCUCAACAACUUGGGCAUUGGCUUCAUGCUGCUGAAAUUUGCUUCUACAAAUUAUAGCUUCGUGUCCAAGUUGAUUGCACUUGAUGCACUUUGCGUCUGGUCGUUUCCAACAUUUGUAUGGUGGGUGACCCAAUUUUCCGCAAUGUUGACAAGCAUGAUGGUGCUUGGUUGGUAAAGCACCUUCAACUGCACAGUCUUGUCUCAUCAACCUCUGCUGCUCUUGGGACUGCAUGAUUCAUGGCUUGCAUUCCCUUGAUCCUUUCAUCUCCUUCAUAUUCAUCCUUGAGGAAAUUCCAAACUUCGAAUGCUGAUUUGAUUGUCAUGAUUCUGGUGAAAAUGUCUUGUGAAACAGGAGCAAAUAAGGUUCAAAGCCCAAGACUAAACCCAAAAGGCAGCCGCCAACAAAGGAGGAGAAAACCUUGAGAAGAAGGGCUAAAUAUUUUGUGGUAGCACAGCUAGUUGCUGUUGUUCUUUUCGUCAGUGUCUUGUCUG
This is an RNA transcript of Glycine soja, 1640 nucleotides long. It is a transcript of the gene named mitochondrial outer membrane import complex protein METAXIN-like, with no coding region annotated. Lineage: Eukaryota; Viridiplantae; Streptophyta; Magnoliopsida; Fabales; Fabaceae. The record is from RefSeq and is a predicted model, not a curated record. The transcript has 9 exons.